RNAcentral lists this ribosomal RNA (292 nucleotides) under uncultured bacterium. Its description in RNAcentral is "partial 16S ribosomal RNA". It matches the Rfam family "Bacterial small subunit ribosomal RNA", at positions 505 to 796 of the family's 1533-position model. The record is from RNAcentral.
GUGCCAGCAGCCGCGGUAAGACGAACCGUGCGAACGUUGUUCGGAAUCACUGGGCUUAAAGGGCGCGUAGGCGGGCAUUCAAGUCGGUGGUGAAAUCCUCCAGCUUAACUGGAGAAGAGCUGUCGAUACUGGAUGUCUCGAGGGGUGCAGGGGUCUGCGGAACUUCGGGUGGAGCGGUGAAAUGCGUAGAGAUCCGAAGGAACGCCGGUGGCGAAAGCGGCGGACUGGGCACCUUCUGACGCUGAGGCGCGAAAGCCAGGGGAGCAAACGGGAUUAGAAACCCGUGUAGUCC